RNAcentral lists this ribosomal RNA (253 nucleotides) under uncultured bacterium. RNAcentral describes it as "partial 16S ribosomal RNA". It matches the Rfam family "Bacterial small subunit ribosomal RNA", at positions 524 to 776 of the family's 1533-position model. The record is from RNAcentral.
UACAGAGGGUGCGAGCGUUGUCCGGAAUCACUGGGCGGAAAGGGCGCGUAGGUGGCGACCCAAGUCGAUGGUGAAAGCUCGCCGCUCAACGGCGAGUCGGCCACCGAUACUGGGUUGCUGGAGCACUGUAGAGGCAGAUGGAAUUCCGGGUGUAGCGGUGGAAUGCGUAGAGAUCCGGAAGAACACCGGUGGCGAAGGCGGUCUGCUGGGCAGUUGCUGACACUGAGGCGCGACAGCGUGGGGAGCAAACAGG